UACGGAGGAUGCGAGCGUUAUCCGGAUUUAUUGGGUUUAAAGGGUGCGUAGGCGGGCGCUUAAGUCAGCGGUAAAAUUGCGGGGCUCAACCUCGUCGAGCCGUUGAAACUGGGUGCCUUGAGUGGGCGAGAAGUACGCGGAAUGCGUGGUGUAGCGGUGAAAUGCAUAGAUAUCACGCAGAACUCCGAUUGCGAAGGCAGCGUACCGGCGCCCAACUGACGCUGAAGCACGAAGGCGUGGGUAUCGAACAGG
This 252-nucleotide ribosomal RNA is filed under the name uncultured bacterium. RNAcentral's name for it is "partial 16S ribosomal RNA". It matches the Rfam family "Bacterial small subunit ribosomal RNA", at positions 524 to 776 of the family's 1533-position model. The record is from RNAcentral.